GGAGAGUUGUCCGAGUGGUUGAAGGAGCACGACUGGAAAUCGUGUGUGCGUCAAAAGCGUACCGAGGGCUCGAAUCCCUCACUCUCCGCCA
RNAcentral lists this transfer RNA (91 nucleotides) under Holophagales bacterium. RNAcentral's name for it is "tRNA-Ser". It matches the Rfam family "tRNA". Rfam says of the family: Transfer RNA (tRNA) molecules are approximately 80 nucleotides in length. Their secondary structure includes four short double-helical elements and three loops (D, anti-codon, and T loops). The record is from RNAcentral. Lineage: Bacteria; Pseudomonadati; Acidobacteriota; Holophagae; Holophagales.